CCUACGGGAGGCAGCAGUAGGGAAUAUUGCUCAAUGGGGGAAACGCUGAAGCAGCAAAGCCGAGUGAAGGAUGCAGGUUUUAGGAUUGUAAAAUCCUUUUUUGAGAGAAGAUAAUGACGGUAUCUCACAAAUAAGGACAGGCUAAGUCCGUGACAGGCGCCACGGUAAUAAGGAAGGAUCGGGCGUUAUCCGGAUUUAGUGGGUUUAAAGGGUGCGUAGUCCGCAUGUCAAGUGUGCUGGUAAAUGUCCGGUGACAACCCGGGUCUUGCAGGGCGAACUGGCGUCCUUGAGUCCGCGGAAAGCAGGCGGAAUUCGUCGUGUAGCGGUGAAAUGCUUAGAUAUGACGAAGAACUCCGAUUGCGAAGGCAGCUUGCUGCAGCGGAACUGACGCUGAUGCUCGAAAGCGCGGGUAUCGAACAGGAUUAGAUACCCCUGUAGUC
This 440-nucleotide ribosomal RNA is filed under the name uncultured bacterium. RNAcentral describes it as "partial 16S ribosomal RNA". It matches the Rfam family "Bacterial small subunit ribosomal RNA", at positions 338 to 795 of the family's 1533-position model. The record is from RNAcentral.